CCUACGGGAGGCUGCAGUGAGGAAUAUUGGUCAAUGGGCGCGAGCCUGAACCAGCCAAGUCGCGUGAGGGAAGACGGCCCUACGGGUUGUAAACCUCUUUUGCCGGGGAGCAACGGGCGCCACGUGUGGCGCCACUGAGAGUACCCGGAGAAAAAGCAUCGGCUAACUCCGUGCCAGCAGCCGCGGUAAUACGGAGGAUGCGACCUUUAGCCGGAUUUAUUGGGUUUAAAGGGUGCGUAGGCGGAGCGUUAAGUCAGUGGGCAAAUUGUGGGGCUCAACCCCUUCCCGCCAUUGAAACUGGCGCUCUUGAGUGGAAGAGAGGUAUGCGGAAUGCGUGGUGUAGCGGUGAAAUGCAUAGAUAUCACGCAGAACCCCGAUUGCGAAGGCAGCAUGCCGGCUUCCUACUGACGCUGAAGCACGAAAGCGUGGGGAUCGAACAGGAUUAGAUACCCCUGUAGUC
RNAcentral lists this ribosomal RNA (460 nucleotides) under uncultured bacterium. RNAcentral's name for it is "partial 16S ribosomal RNA". It matches the Rfam family "Bacterial small subunit ribosomal RNA", at positions 338 to 795 of the family's 1533-position model. The record is from RNAcentral.